Molecule: long non-coding RNA, 2094 nt
Filed under: Olea europaea subsp. europaea
Lineage: Eukaryota; Viridiplantae; Streptophyta; Magnoliopsida; Lamiales; Oleaceae
Source: RNAcentral
CCUCCAUCGACCACCAUGAAAUACAAGAGCUUCCUCAUCCCUCGAUGUAGCUCCAAUCAAAUGCUUUAACUUCUCCUUUGAGUGCAAAACAUCAUCGACGUUGUCUAUAGUCAAAGUAUCCCGACUAUACAAAAUGGUGUCCCGAAACGACGUAUAAAAGCCAGGCAGUGAACACAAUAGGAUCAAUGCCAAAUCUUCUUCAUUGUACUUAACCUCCAACGUCCCCAGAUCUGCAACUAUUUCUGAACACGACAAUAUGAUUUUUCAGUGAUCCUCAUUCCGCCAUGCGAUGGAAAUACAGUUUCUACUUUAGAUCCAGUUUGCUUGUGAGACUUUUAGUCUUGCAUAACUGCUCCAGUUUCAAUCACAGAGCAACCACUGUUUUCUCUUUUAAGACAUCUUGCAGAAUAUUAUUGGAUAAAUGAAAAUGGAUCUGCGAUAAAGCCUUCCAAUCCCUCUGUUGUUUCUCUUCGUUGUCCAAUCAGCUGGCAUCUUCUCAAAACCCAGCAGAGCGUCGUCCAAAUCCAGUUGUGCCAGAAUUGCCCUCAUCUUUACCUGCCACAAAGAAAUCCUUUUAUUGCGAUCUAGCAGCGAAAUGUCACACUUCAUGGUGGUCAUCUCUGGAAAACCUCAACCAAUUCAUAGAAGAAGAACAAAGUUUGAUACCACUUGUUGGACCUGGAGAGAUUGUAAUGAAUGAUAUUAAUGACAUAAUAUAAAAUAAUAAAGAUCACAAUGAGAAAUAAGAUUAAAAGUAAAGAAGAACAAAGAGAGUUAAUCGCAAAGGAACGAUAUAUAUUAACUAACAAUAUGGAGAAAAAUUACAGACACAACAAUAAUGCUUAAACAAAACUAACAGAGGAGUCUUGUAUUUAUAGGCCACAUUUCAAACUCUAGAAGAGUCCUAAAAGGUAAGAAAAUCUAUUAAAAUUAUGUUACAAUUGCGCAUAGAACUUCGUUAGAGAGAGGAUUUUCUUUCCUUAUUCAACUUGACUAUAGGAUUCCUUUCCAAGUAAAAAUCAUAUAUGCAAUCUCACAAGACUCCUAACCGUAUUUGAGUCACAAAACCUUAAACAUUCCAAACUUCUCACUUCCACCCAUGUCGUUCUUCAAAAGUAAUGAGCCAUCCAUUUUUGUGAGAGUCUAGCGAAGGAAAUAGGUAUGAGGUAAAAAGCACUUGAGGAGUCUAAAAUAUACCUUUUUCUUUGAGACUUGGGAUGAAAAUUACCUCCAAGAUUAGUUUGAUAGGAGGAAUAUUUGAUUCUUGGCCAGAAAUAAUGACUACGCUAAAUCACGAGAGUGAGAUUUUUUUGGUAGAUCAAAUUCAACUGAAAAUGAUUCAUUCCCUUGCACAUCAAUACGGAGGAGUUAGCAACAAUGGACCUUGACUACAAGAAGAAGCUCAACUUCAAAAUUUUCAAUUUUUUGAAGUUAAUGCUUUGCUAUUUCUCUUAUAUUUAUAUUAUAUGUAGUCAAGGCUUCCACCCAAUGGCAAAUAAAGCUUAUUUGUCGCCACUUUCAAACUUAGCCUAGCUUAUUUGGCUCUGGGUUUGUUGCGUUCCUGUUUAAUGCCCUUAGACUUACGUUCAGAAAUAUAUAAAAUAUGGUCUUGUCAUUUCCUUUCCAACUAGUAGUUAGUAGUUUUGUCGUUAAUCUCUCUUCCCGACCGACUGUGACUUGUAUGUCCAGACAACCACUAUCGAUGCCUCUUCUAAGUUCUUACACCGUAUUUGCAUAAUAGACAGGAAGUGUUAUUGGUAAUAGUAUAUUUUCUUGGGUUAUAAUAAAAGAUUUUGUUCAGAGAGAGAGAGUGGCCCUCUAGUCUGGUGAUUUAAGUGGUCUAUAUGCUGAACUAUCGACCCUACUUGUUUGGAUGGGUGUUCAUGUCUUCUAACGCGGCGAUGAGGACGAAUGGUUGGUCACCCAAUGAGCCUCACUCUCUUUGAGAGCCUGCUUUUUUGUCCUUAACCUUCAAAUGUUGUCGCAAACGUUCCUAACCUUCUAUUUAAUGGGUGAAAUUAGUCAUUUUGGAUGAUUUUCAUCCAAUUAACCGUUAAAAAUGUCAAUUUUUUUUUAUAAAAGACUAAAUGCCUU